GAUGAACGCUGGCGGCGUGCCUAAUACAUGCAAGUCGAGCGAACGGACGAGAAGCUUGCUUCUCUGAUGUUAGCGGCGGACGGGUGAGUAACACGUGGAUAACCUACCUAUAAGACUGGGAUAACUUCGGGAAACCGUAGCUAAUACCGGAUAAUAUUUUGAACCGCAUGGUUCAAAAGUGAAAGACGGUCUUGCUGUCACUUAUAGAUGGAUCCGCGCUGCAUUAGCUAGUUGGUAAGGUAACGGCUUACCAAGGCAACGAUGCAUAGCCGACCUGAGAGGGUGAUCGGACACCCGGGAACUGAGACACGGUACAGACUCCUACGGGAGGAAGCAGUAGGGAAUCUUACGCAAUGGGCGAAAGCCUGACGGAGCAACGACGCGUGAGUGAUGAAGGUCUUCGGAUCGGAAAACUCUGUUAGUAGGGAAGAACAUAUGUGUAAGUAACUGUGCACAUAUUGACGGUACCUGAUCAGAAAGCCACGGCUAACUACGUG
RNAcentral lists this ribosomal RNA (497 nucleotides) under uncultured bacterium. RNAcentral's name for it is "partial 16S ribosomal RNA". It matches the Rfam family "Bacterial small subunit ribosomal RNA", at positions 28 to 507 of the family's 1533-position model. The record is from RNAcentral.